RNAcentral lists this small nucleolar RNA (107 nucleotides) under Gossypium arboreum. RNAcentral describes it as "Plant small nucleolar RNA R71". It matches the Rfam family "Plant small nucleolar RNA R71". From Rfam's summary of the family: R71 is a member of the C/D box family of snoRNAs containing the C (UGAUGA) and D (CUGA) box motifs. Multiple nearly identical copies of this snoRNA have been identified in Arabidopsis, and it is thought to function as a 2'-O-ribose methylation guide for 18S ribosomal RNA. The record is from Rfam by way of RNAcentral. Lineage: Eukaryota; Viridiplantae; Streptophyta; Magnoliopsida; Malvales; Malvaceae.
AAGCCAUGGUGGGGGCACCUUCGUAAAAGAUCCUUGAAUCGCUUCUAUGCAUCGUAAAGUGUCUCUAAUUCCAUCUGUACAAAAGAAGAAAUAUCAUUAUGUAACUU